This 28-nucleotide non-coding RNA is filed under the name Rattus norvegicus (Norway rat). The record is from RNAcentral. Lineage: Eukaryota; Metazoa; Chordata; Mammalia; Rodentia; Muridae.
UGCUAUGUCCACAUUUUGGACCACUUUU